GUCUAUGGCCAUACCACCCUGAAUGCACCCGAUCUCGUCUGAUCUCGGAAGCUAAGCAGGAUUGGGCCUGAUUAAUACUUGGAUGGGAGAAAGUGCUCAGAAGUCUGCGUCAGAAGGGAUCAUGGUUGUGCACU
RNAcentral lists this ribosomal RNA (134 nucleotides) under Chinchilla lanigera (long-tailed chinchilla). The record is from RNAcentral. Lineage: Eukaryota; Metazoa; Chordata; Mammalia; Rodentia; Chinchillidae.